This 898-nucleotide ribosomal RNA is filed under the name Prorocentrum minimum. RNAcentral describes it as "partial Bacterial large subunit ribosomal RNA". It matches the Rfam family "Bacterial large subunit ribosomal RNA", at positions 1783 to 2692 of the family's 2925-position model. The record is from RNAcentral. Lineage: Eukaryota; Dinophyceae; Prorocentrales; Prorocentraceae.
GGGUGCAACCGAAUGACUGUUUAGCAAAAACAUAGUAGACAGGUUUAAGAUUUUUAAUAGUUGUGAAUGAUGUUUGACCAGUGCUUGUGGAAACAAGUAAACGUUGGCUGUAACUAUAACCGUCCGAAGGUAGCAAAGUUCCUUGUCACCUAAGUAGUGACCCGCAUGAAAGAUUUAACGGUUUGGUUUGUGUCCUGUGGGUAUGUUAUGGUGAAACACUAUACUACGUGAAGAUACGUGUAAUAUUAGGAUGGGACAAAAAGACCCUGAGAAGCUUUAUUGGGAGAGAGAACCAGAGGUGUUGAUAGCGGGGAUAUAUACUAGUGUAAGUGGGUAUAUUUUUCAGCAUCACCGCAUUGCCAAGCAUGCAAAACCCUGCCUUCGGAGCGGGUGCUUUCUUUUAGAGGAGCAACAACCAAUCUUCCAUUAAUCCUGGACUAACAAUCCUGACAUAUCCUGACAUUACCAUUAGAUAUGUAGGCAAGCAUUCGGUGUGGGGCUAUUUUAUUGGGGCUAUGCCUUUAUGUAAGUCAAUAAUAGGGUGCCAAGAGAACAUACUGGAAGAGAGCAGUGUUUUUAGCAAGGGCAUAUCAUGGGACAUUUGAAUGUGGGGGUAUAGUAGUGAAGGUUGUAGUCAGCAUUAGUGAACUUAAGUGUAACGUAUCAGAUAACAGCUACUCCUUGGAUAACAGGCUUAUAUAGGCUGACAGAUCGCAUGGAGGCAUAUCAUUGGCACCUCGAUGUCGGCUUGUCUCUUCUAGUAUAUUGAUUAGUAUAACUAGUGUGGUUGCUCAUCACAUAGUCAGGCAAGUGAGCUGGGUUCAGAACGAUGUAAAUCAGUUUGGUCUAUAUCUUUAUUGGUGUUGCGAGAAAGUAUAGUAUAGCAGUACGCAAGGAC